GACGAACGCUGGCGGCGUGCUUAACACAUGCAAGUCGAACGGAAAGGCCCUGCUUGCAGGGUACUCGAGUGGCGAACGGGUGAGUAACACGUGGGUGAUCUGCCCUGCACUUCGGGAUAAGCCUGGGAAACUGGGUCUAAUACCGGAUAGGAGCCAUUUUUAGUGUGAUGGUUGGAAAGUUUUUUCGGUGUAGGAUGAGCUCGCGGCCUAUCAGCUUGUUUGUGGGGUAAUGGCCUACCAAGGCGGCGACGGGUAGCCGGCCUGAGAGGGUGGACGGCCACAUUGGGACUGAGAUACGGCCCAGACUCCUACGGGAGGCAGCAGUGGGGAAUAUUGCACAAUGGGCGCAAGCCUGAUGCAGCGACGCCGCGUGGGGGAUGACGGCCUUCGGGUUGUAAACUCCGUUCGCUAGGGACGAAGCUUUUUGUGACGGUACCUAGAUAAGAAGCACCGGCUAACUACGUG
This 465-nucleotide ribosomal RNA is filed under the name uncultured bacterium. RNAcentral's name for it is "partial 16S ribosomal RNA". It matches the Rfam family "Bacterial small subunit ribosomal RNA", at positions 28 to 507 of the family's 1533-position model. The record is from RNAcentral.